ACGGCUCAGUAACACGUGGAUAACUGCCCUUUGGGUCCGGCAUAACCCCGGGAAACUGGGGAUAAUACCGGAUAACGCACAUAUGCUGGAAUGCUUUAUGCGUAAAAUGGAUUCGUCUGCCCAAGGAUGGGUCUGCGGCCUAUCAGGUAGUAGUGGGUGUAAUGUACCUACUAGCCAACAACGGGUACGGGUUGUGAGAGCAAGAGCCCGGAGAUGGAUUCUGAGACAUGAAUCCAGGCCCUACGGGGCGCAGCAGGCGCGAAAACUUUACAAUGCUGGCAACAGCGAUAAGGGGACCUCGAGUGCCAGGAUACAAUCUUGGCUGUCGUAAUGCCUAAAAAGCAUUGCAUAGCAAGGGCCGGGCAAGACCGGUGCCAGCCGCCGCGGUAACACCGGCGGCUCGAGUGGUAACCGCUAUUAUUGGGUCUAAAGGGUCUGUAGCCGGCCGGAUAAGUCUCUUGGGAAAUCCAGCUGCUCAACAGUUGGGCUUUCAGGAGAUACUGUUCGGCUCGAGGCCGGGAGAGGUGAGAGGUACUUCAGGGGUAGGGGUGAAAUCUUGUAAUCCUUGAAGGACCACCAGUGGCGAAGGCGUCUCACCAGAACGGUCCUGACGGCAAGGGACGAAAGCUAGGGGCACGAACCGGAUUAGAUACCCGGGUAGUCCCAGCUGUAAACGAUGCAGACUCGGUGAUGGGCUGGCUUCGUGCCAACCCGGUGCCGCAGGGAAGCCGUUAAGUCUACCGCCUGGGGAGUACGGUCGCAAGACUGAAACUUAAAGGAAUUGGCGGGGGAG
RNAcentral lists this ribosomal RNA (793 nucleotides) under uncultured archaeon. RNAcentral's name for it is "bacterial SSU rRNA". It matches the Rfam family "Archaeal small subunit ribosomal RNA", at positions 85 to 876 of the family's 1478-position model. The record is from RNAcentral.